RNAcentral lists this ribosomal RNA (548 nucleotides) under uncultured bacterium. RNAcentral describes it as "partial 16S ribosomal RNA". It matches the Rfam family "Bacterial small subunit ribosomal RNA", at positions 355 to 893 of the family's 1533-position model. The record is from RNAcentral.
UAGGGAAUCUUCCACAAUGGACGCAAGUCUGAUGGAGCAACGCCGCGUGAGUGAAGAAGGUUUUCGGACCGUAAAGCUCUGUUGUUGGUGAAGAAGGAUAGAGGUAGUAACUGGCCUUUAUUUGACGGUAAUCAACCAGAAAGUCACGGCUAACUACGUGCCAGCAGCCGCGGUAAUACGUAGGUGGCAAGCGUUGUCCGGAUUUAUUGGGCGUAAAGCGAGCGCAGGCGGAAGAAUAAGUCUGAUGUGAAAGCCCUCGGCUUAACCGAGGAAUUGCAUCGGAAACUGUUUUUCUUGAGUGCAGAAGAGGAGAGUAGAACUCCAUGUGUAGCGGUGGAAUGCGUAGAUAUAUGGAAGAAUACCAGUGGCGAAGGCGGCUCUCUGGUCUGCAACUGACGCUGAGGCUCGAAAGCAUGGGUAGCGAACAGGAUUAGAUACCCUGGUAGUCCAUGCCGUAAACGAUGAGUGCUAAGUGUUGGGAGGCUUCCGCCUCUCAGUGCUGCAGCUAACGCAUUAAGCACUCCGCCUGGGGGAGUACGACCGCAAGG